AUUGAACGCUGGCGGCAUGCCUAACACAUGCAAGUCGAGCGGAUGAAGGGAGGUUGCUCCUUGAUUCAGCGGCGGACGGGUGAGUAAUGCCUAUGAAUCUGCCUGGUAGUGGGGGAUAACGUCCGGAAACGGGCGCUAAUACCGCAUACAUCCUGUGGGAGAGAGUGGGGGAUCUUCGGACCUCACGCUAUCAGAUGAGCCUAGGUCGGAUUAGCUAGUUGGUGGGGUAAAGGCCUACCAAGGCGACGAUCCGUAACUGGUCUGAGAGGAUGAUCAGUCACACUGGAACUGAGACACGGUCCAGACUCCUACGGGAGGCAGCAGUGGGGAAUAUUGGACAAUGGGCGAAAGCCUGAUCCAGCCAUGCCGCGUGUGUGAAGAAGGCCUUCGGAUUGUAAAGCACUUUAAGUCGGGAGGAAGGGCAGUACGUUAAUACCGUGCUGUUUUGACGUUACCGAAAGAAUAAGCACCGGCUAACUUCGUG
Molecule: ribosomal RNA, 484 nt
Filed under: uncultured bacterium
Lineage: Bacteria
Description: partial 16S ribosomal RNA
Rfam family: Bacterial small subunit ribosomal RNA
Source: RNAcentral